Molecule: ribosomal RNA, 253 nt
Filed under: uncultured bacterium
Lineage: Bacteria
Description: partial 16S ribosomal RNA
Rfam family: Bacterial small subunit ribosomal RNA
Source: RNAcentral
UACGGAGGGUGCACGCGUUGUUCGGAAUUACUGGGCGUAAAGCGCGUGUAGGCGGCUUGGCAAGUCGGGUGUGAAAUCCCGGGGCUCAACCCCGGAACUGCAUUCGAAACUGCCUGGCUGGAGUCCCGGAGAGGGUGGUGGAAUUCCCAGUGUAGAGGUGAAAUUCGUAGAUAUUGGGAGGAACACCAGUGGCGAAGGCGGCCACCUGGACGGUGAAUGACUCUGAGACGCGAAAGCGUGGGGAGCAAACAGG